CACCGAGACUUUGUUCGUCUUCCUCUGCCACCGCUCAAAUCCGUUCCCCUCCCCACGAAUGUGCCGCCGCAACUUAAGACUCAUUAAACAGCUGAUAAAUCCGAGCACUGAAAACUGCUAAAUGGAGCUCAUGUGCCGCUGCCACUGCAUCCAGCUUAAAAAGCAAUCCCGGCUGCCAUUCGCAUCCACACCAAGCACCCUCCUCAGUCCUCACUGCUGCCCCGUUGUUCUCAGACCAUCUUCCCGAGAUCUGGAUGCCGACGGCCGACCUCUAGGUAGUGUCGAUUUGUCUUCGUCUCAAGGUGGUACUGGGUGGAUUUGACCCAUCGCGUUCCUCAUCCGCUCUCCUUCCAGGAUGCAGCUUGGAUUAAUUUAGGAACUCGAUGUGGCUAUGGACAAUCUGAUCCAACAGAGAGAGAAGAAAAAACAUGUUACAUUCACACAUCACACAUACAUACCGGAUCAUCCUUCUGGAUUUAAUGGUAGCCCCUAAUCCUGGAGCGUUGACGCCACUCCGAUUGAUCAUGUAGCACCCCCUCCUGUGUCCCUUUUCUCCAGACUUGAUUGUCGGCAAUACCAUUAUUGUGGUGCAUUAUUGCAUUCUCUACAACUCUUUUGAAGCUACGCACUUUUUAUUCAUUUUGACAGGUCAUCACGUGAGGUACAAUGGUCUUCUUAUAUUCUUGGUUUUACUAUCAUAGGCUCAGCUAGAACCCUCGAACAUGUUUAUUCGUAUUUUAGAGACACCAAAGCAUGGUGGAAUUAUUCAGUUGAGAAGUUCAUCAUGUUUCUUAACUUCUUGGUUUUACCACAACAGCAUGAAUUGUAUAACUGAGACUGCUCUGGACAACUUGUGAGUGGAAGCAUGUAUUUCUGUCUUGGUGUGAUUA
Molecule: non-coding RNA, 890 nt
Organism: Lolium perenne
Lineage: Eukaryota; Viridiplantae; Streptophyta; Magnoliopsida; Poales; Poaceae
Source: RefSeq, a predicted model, not a curated record